GACGAACGCUGGCGGCGUGCUUAACACAUGCAAGUCGAACGGAAAGGCCCUGCCUUUGUGGGGUGCUCGAGUGGCGAACGGGUGAGUAACACGUGAGUAACCUGCCCUUGACUUUGGGAUAACUUCAGGAAACUGGGGCUAAUACCGGAUAGGAGCUCCUGCUGCAUGGUGGGGGUUGGAAAUCUUCGGCGGUUGGGGAUGGACUCGCGGCUUAUCAGCUUGUUGGUGGGGUAGUGGCUUACCAAUGCUUUGACGGGUAGCCGGCCUGAGAGGGUGACCGGCCACAUUGGGACUGAGAUACGCACCAGAGUCCUACGGGAGGCAGCAGUGGGGAAUAUUGCACAAUGGGCGGAAGCCUGAUGCAGCAACGCCGCGUGCGGGAUGACGGCCUUCGGGUUGUAAACCGCUUUCGCCUGUGACGAAGCGUGAGUGACGGUAAUGGGUAAAGAAGCACCGGCUAACUACGUG
Molecule: ribosomal RNA, 468 nt
Filed under: uncultured bacterium
Lineage: Bacteria
Description: partial 16S ribosomal RNA
Rfam family: Bacterial small subunit ribosomal RNA
Source: RNAcentral